UUGGAGGGCAAGUCUGGUGCCAGCAGCCGCGGUAAUUCCAGCUCCAAUAGCGUAUAUUAAAGUUGUUGCAGUUAAAAAGCUCGUAGUUGAAUUUCGGGAUCAAUGUUUCGGUCAUGCCGUUGGUAUGUACUGAUAUUAUUGAUUUCUCACCUUCUAAAGAACCGUAAUGCCAUUAAUUUGGUGUCACGGGGAAUUAGGACUGUUACCUUGAAAAAAUUAGAGUGUUUAAAGCAGGCUAACGCUUGAAUACAUUAGCAUGGAAUAAUGAAAUAGGACAUCCGAUUCUAUUUUGUUGGUUUCUAGGAUCGAUGUAAUGAUUAAUAGGGAUAGUUGGGGGCAUUAGUGUUCAAUUGUCAGAGGUGAAAUUCUUGGAUUUAUUGAAGACUAACUACUGCGAAAGCAUUUGCCAAGGAUGUUUUCAUUAAUCAAGAACGAAAGUUAGGGGAUCGAAGACGAUCAGAUACCGUCGUAGUCUUAACCAUAAACUAUGCCGACUAGGGAUCGGAUGAUGUUAAUUUUUUAAUGACUCAUUCGGCGCCUUACGGGAAAC
Molecule: ribosomal RNA, 550 nt
Filed under: uncultured Funneliformis
Lineage: Eukaryota; Fungi; Glomeromycota; Glomeromycetes; Glomerales; Glomeraceae
Description: SSU rRNA
Rfam family: Eukaryotic small subunit ribosomal RNA
Source: RNAcentral